UUAGGGCGGAACUUGUGCGUACGCUGGAAAACCGCUGGGGUGCGCGAUUCCGCACGGGGGCGCACAUGCGCAGUCUGGGGCCACGGAAGACUACAUACUGGGCCAGUAACAGGAAGGCACAAAGCUGACUGAAGGUUUAAAAAUUACUUCGUCAAUUUGAUUAAUGAGGAGAAUGAAUCAGAAAAUUUCAAUUUCUCCCGUGGCUAACUGUCGAGUAUCCACUUCAAGAUCAUUCCAUCGGAAAGAGGUCGAAAAUGUACAGUAGGCAUGCACAAAGGAUACCGCCUGGAAAGAAG
Pan troglodytes (chimpanzee) is the source of this 296-nucleotide long non-coding RNA. RefSeq lists it as uncharacterized. NCBI's taxonomy places the organism in Eukaryota, Metazoa, Chordata, Mammalia, Primates, Hominidae. The record is from RefSeq and is a predicted model, not a curated record. The transcript has 3 exons.